CGUAAGGACAUGUGGAGCGCUUAGAAGUGAGAAUGCCGGUGUGAGUAGCGAAAGAUGGGUGAGAAUCCCGUCCACCGAUUGACUAAGGUUUCCAGAGGAAGGCUCGUCCGCUCUGGGUUAGUCGGGUCCUAAGCUGAGGCCGACAGGCGUAGGCGAUGGAUAACAGGUUGAUAUUCCUGUACCACCUAUAAUCGUUUUAAUCGAUGGGGGGACGCAGUAGGAUAGGCGAAGCGUGCGAUUGGAUUGCACGUCUAAGCAGUAAGGCUGAGUAUUAGGCAAAUCCGGUACUCGUUAAGGCUGAGCUGUGAUGGGGAGAAGACAUUGUGUCUUCGAGUCGUUGAUUUCACACUGCCGAGAAAAGCCUCUAGAUAGAAAAUAGGUGCCCGUACCGCAAACCGACACAGGUAGUCAAGAUGAGAAUUCUAAGGUGAGCGAGCGAACUCUCGUUAAGGAACUCGGCAAAAUGACCCCGUAACUUCGGGAGAAGGGGUGCUCUUUAGGGUUAACGCCCAGAAGAGCCGCAGUGAAUAGGCCCAAGCGACUGUUUAUCAAAAACACAGGUCUCUGCUAAACCGUAAGGUGAUGUAUAGGGGCUGACGCCUGCCCGGUGCUGGAAGGUUAAGAGGAGUGGUUAGCUUCUGCGAAGCUACGAAUCGAAGCCCCAGUAAACGGCGGCCGUAACUAUAACGGUCCUAAGGUAGCGAAAUUCCUUGUCGGGUAAGUUCCGACCCGCACGAAAGGCGUAACGAUUUGGGCACUGUCUCAACGAGAGACUCGGUGAAAUCAUAGUACCUGUGAAGAUGCAGGUUACCCGCGACAGGACGGAAAGACCCCGUGGAGCUUUACUGUAGCCUGAUAUUGAAAUUCGGCACAGCUUGUACAGGAUAGGUAGGAGCCUUUGAAACGUGAGCGCUAGCUUACGUGGAGGCGCUGGUGGGAUACUACCCUAGCUGUGUUGGCUUUCUAACCCGCACCACUUAUCGUGGUGGGAGACAGUGUCAGGCGGGCAGUUUGACUGGGGCGGUCGCCUCCUAAAAGG
RNAcentral lists this ribosomal RNA (1039 nucleotides) under Staphylococcus aureus. RNAcentral describes it as "partial 23S ribosomal RNA". It matches the Rfam family "Bacterial large subunit ribosomal RNA", at positions 1262 to 2297 of the family's 2925-position model. Lineage: Bacteria; Bacillati; Bacillota; Bacilli; Caryophanales; Staphylococcaceae. The record is from RNAcentral.